GACGAACGCUGGCGGCGUGCCUAAUACAUGCAAGUCGAGCGAAGUUUUUCUGGUGCUUGCACUAGAAAAACUUAGCGGCGAACGGGUGAGUAACACGUAAAGAACCUGCCUCAUAGACUGAGACAACUAUUGGAAACGAUAGCUAAUACCGGAUAACAGUAUUUCUCGCAUGAGAGAUAUUUAAAAGUUGGUUAUGCUAACACUAUGAGAUGGCUUUGCGGUGCAUUAGCUAGUUGGUGGGGUAAAGGCCCACCAAGGCGACGAUGCAUAGCCGACCUGAGAGGGUGAUCGGCCACACUGGGACUGAGACACGGCCCAGACUCCUACGGGAGGCAGCAGUAGGGAAUCUUCCGCAAUGGGCGAAAGCCUGACGGAGCAACGCCGCGUGAGUGAAGAAGGAUUUCGGUUCGUAAAGCUCUGUUGUUAGGGAAGAAUGGAUAUGUAGUAACUAUACAUGUAAGAGACGGUACCUAACCAGAAAGCCACGGCUAACUACGUG
This 499-nucleotide ribosomal RNA is filed under the name uncultured bacterium. RNAcentral's name for it is "partial 16S ribosomal RNA". It matches the Rfam family "Bacterial small subunit ribosomal RNA", at positions 28 to 507 of the family's 1533-position model. The record is from RNAcentral.